UACGAAGGGUGCAAGCGUUACUCGGAAUUACUGGGCGUAGAGCGUGCGUAGGUGGUUUGUUAAGUCUGUCGUGAAAUCCCCGGGCUCAACCUGGGAAUGGCGAUGGAUACUGGCAAGCUAGAGUGAGGUAGAGGAGAGUGGAAUUCCCGGUGUAGCAGUGAAAUGCGUAGAGAUCGGGAGGAACAUCAGUUGCGAAGGCGGCUCUCUGGACCAUCACUGACACUGAGGCGCGAAAGCGUGGGGAGCAAACAGG
This 253-nucleotide ribosomal RNA is filed under the name uncultured bacterium. RNAcentral describes it as "partial 16S ribosomal RNA". It matches the Rfam family "Bacterial small subunit ribosomal RNA", at positions 524 to 776 of the family's 1533-position model. The record is from RNAcentral.